RNAcentral lists this long non-coding RNA (202 nucleotides) under Mytilus galloprovincialis (Mediterranean mussel). Lineage: Eukaryota; Metazoa; Mollusca; Bivalvia; Mytilida; Mytilidae. The record is from RNAcentral.
AUUGUAUUGUAUUUUUGCAAAACCGAUCGGUGAAAUAUGUCGGCGACACAACUUUAGCUAUCAUGGGUAUGCUGAUGACACGCAAGUCUACCUAGUUAUCAAACCACUCGAUAAUUGGGACAACAUAUCUUCCCGUCUAGAGACUUGUUUAGCUGACAUUAGUAAAUGGAUGUGCUUAAACAUGCUGAAACUGAACCAAGAC